AACACAUGCAAGUCGAGGGGUAACGGAAGUAGCUUGCUACUAGACGACGACCGGCGCACGGGUGAGUAACGCGUAUGUAAUCUGCCUUGUACAGAGGGAUAGCCCAGAGAAAUUUGGAUUAAUACCUCAUAGUAUUACUGGAUCGCAUGAUUUGGUAAUUAAAGCUCCGGCGGUACAAGAUGAACAUGCGUGACAUUAGCUAGUUGGUAAGGUAACGGCUUACCAAGGCUACGAUGUCUAGGGGUUCUGAGAGGAUGAUCCCCCACACUGGUACUGAGACACGGACCAGACUCCUACGGGAGGCAGCAGUGAGGAAUAUUGGUCAAUGGACGCAAGUCUGAACCAGCCAUCCCGCGUGAAGGAUGACUGCCCUAUGGGUUGUAAACUUCUUUUAUAUGCAAAUAAACCUACUUUCGUGAAAGUAGCUGAAGGUAGCAUAUGAAUAAACACCGGCUAACUCCGUGCCAGCAGCCGCGGUAAUAC
Molecule: ribosomal RNA, 483 nt
Filed under: uncultured bacterium
Lineage: Bacteria
Description: bacterial SSU rRNA
Rfam family: Bacterial small subunit ribosomal RNA
Source: RNAcentral